CACACGACUCUCAGCAACAGAUAUCUCGGCUCUCGCAUCGAUGAAGAAUGUAGCAAAAUGCGAUACCUGGUGUGAAUUGUAGAAUCCCGCGAACCAUCGAGUUUUUGAACGCAAGUUGCGCCCGAGGCCUUCUGGCUGAGGGCACGCCUGCCUAGGCGUCAUGC
RNAcentral lists this ribosomal RNA (164 nucleotides) under Hordeum comosum. Its description in RNAcentral is "5.8S ribosomal RNA". It matches the Rfam family "5.8S ribosomal RNA". Rfam says of the family: 5.8S ribosomal RNA (5.8S rRNA) is a component of the large subunit of the eukaryotic ribosome. It is transcribed by RNA polymerase I as part of the 45S precursor that also contains 18S and 28S rRNA. The record is from RNAcentral. Lineage: Eukaryota; Viridiplantae; Streptophyta; Magnoliopsida; Poales; Poaceae.